CAGGGCAUGGUGCUGCCAGGGAUCUUGGCAACUGGACAAUUCCCACCACUGGAAGGAACAAAGCAGGAAAGAUGCGUAAACAGAGAGAAUUUGGAUACCAGCUGGAGAGAACACCUCGCUUGUGCUGGUUCACUCAGCACAACACAUGUCCAUCUGAGGUGCCACGCUAGGCUCUAAGGGCAUAAUGACAAUGAGACAUGCCCCUUGCCCUGAAGAGUCCUGCCACAGGGAAAGCACUGUGGGCUUACAGGAGUUGAAAGAUGGCUGUGGGAACAUGCAGGAGCAGCGACCAGCCUCUCGGCGCUCAGGAGCAAGCUCCAGCCUGUGGUUCCUGAAGACGUCCUGCUGAGCACAAGGACAGCAGGCACAGGUCUUCGCUCUCAGACUUUCCCUCUGGUUGCUGCCCCGAGAGUGGGCCAGCCCAGGUCAGGGGAGCUGAUGACCGGCUGCUGCAAGGGAUGCCGAAGGCGCAGAGCGAAAUAGCAGAAUGUGGAGAGAGGGGACAGGAGGAUGAUGAGGGCCAAGCCCUGCAAAGAGGAGGAAGUCACUGGCAUGAAAGCAGUGGGGGCUGCAGAACAUGUAGGCUGGUGGAGGUCAGAGCACAUCUGCUCCUGGGGAGGAGCAGCUCGGGAGAGGCCGGAAGCUGCACUGGAGCUGGGGCGGCAGGCAUGUCGUCCUCGUCAGACAUAUGAGAACACAGAGGUGCAGAGGGGCCGAGCAACUGCUUCAGAGACACACAGCAUGAGUGCAGCCAGCCCCACUCCCCGUAUGGGAGCCCCGGGUGACAGGAAGGACCUCAGCCACCCCUCCAAGGAGCUGGAUCUUCAUCCUGAAGGCACCUGCGGAGCCCUAGGGAUGUGCAGCAGGAGGAAGGAGCCGACCUGCAUUCUUAGAUGCUCACUCUGACAGCUCUCCGUGCAGUGGACAAGCUGAUGCAAGAGACGCAAAGCUCCACAGAGAGUGGGAAGGGAAGUCAGAGGGACCAGGGCCAGGCUGGAGAUGGCCGUACAGGAGAAACAGCCUGCAAAGAAGGGAGGAGGAGCCAGAACGUGCCCAGCCAAGGCAAAGCAGACUUGGGUCUGUGUAUCAGUCAUUUUGGCCAAUGAGGUGGGUACAAGAGAGAAAAUAAAGGGGAAGACAUAAAUUUGGAGGGCUGGGGAGGAUUUUAUUGUGGGCUAGCCGAGGCUGGCUCCCGGGAGACAAGUAGAGACCUGGAUCUCAGGAUCACCGCCCGGGACUUCAGAUCCAUUGAGGCUUGGAAGGGAGCCAGCUCCCCUGUCCCCUCCCAAGGAGAUGGUGGGGAUUGGGGAUGAUGGAAUCAGCCCCCAGAGGCCAGAAAGCUCCAGCCUCCAGGGGGUGGAUAGAGGAAGGGGACGCUGGGAAGCCAGGCCUGCCAGAGGGGCAGCAGGGAACCCAGGGCAGCGCUGCCAGGGCAGUUGUGCCAGGAAAUUGUUUUGAGGGUUGAGCAGGCAAUGGGGCUCCCCAGAGGAGCCUUUAGGGCACUGUAGGUCUGAGAAGUAGGGUCCACUCGGCCAAAUCCCGAGGGCAGCAUGGUUUGGCCCCGGUGGUUUUAAAAAAUGGUCCUGAGGGAAGGAAGCAAGUGAAGAGAGGGACGUCACAGAAACAACCCGAAGACAUUCAGGGACUCUGAUUGCAAAGAGGAGCAGAAACGGCCAGUUUCACAAGAGCCGAGCGGGAGACAGGGUGCCAUUGGGAUUUCUGGUGAGAGAGCUGUCAAGGGGAAAGAGCUGGCUGUGAGACUAAUAUUUCAGAUCUGAAAUGGAGAGGGCAGGGGGCUCAGGGCUGCCAAGGAGGAUGGGCUUCCUUCCCUCUAGCAUGCGAGGGAGAAGAGGCCAGGAGGAGCAAGCAGGCUAGAAGGCUCUGCCCCUGGAGGAUUCGGCUUUGGGUGGAAGGGAGGUUGCCGGGAGCUGAGGUUGGGAGUAUCCUUGGGAAGCAGGCUGAGGAGACUGCAGGGGUUUGCCAUCGCUGUGAGAGGGAGGAGGACAUGCAGCUGGCCAGACACUGAAGAAGGACUUUUGUGCCACCCUGGGACUAAGAAUGCUCAGACGCCUCCUGAGCAGAGGCGGCAUGGGGCUGGCUCAGGUGCACAGGUGCUGCUGAGGCAGCUCCCAGAGAAGGAGGAGUCAGAAGUCCCUUGCGGGCAUGGGAACGUGACACCCUGCACCACGGACCAGGCCUCGAGGUAACUCAGCAGAGCACGUAGGACCGGUGACAGGGACAGAAGCGACUCAGCACAUCACAUCCUCUGGAAGAGGGUGAUCUGCCCAGAGCUGGGGGUCCCAAGACCGCAGCCCACAGCGUGAGACAGUGGCAUUUAGCCAGGAGCCAUCCGGGAGCUGCUCUGGGCACCCCUGCCUUGCUAGGUCUAGAUCCCCUGCCGACAGCAUUGCCGACCAGACAGGGAGUGGUGGUGGGAGGAAGCCCGCCCUUCCCCUCCCUCUCUCGGUAGCCACAGUCCAGUGCUGCCUUUCCUCAUUACCUGUGCACCCUCACCCACAUGGAGAGUAUGAGGUGGUCCUGCGCUCACGUACCCCCAUGCUGGGCCAGUGAUGACAGCUAUCACUGUGCCAGCCCCCAGGGAGAGAGAUUCAGAGUCAAUUGCAGGUCCCAAAUAUUGUGAAGUGGGCAUUAUUUUCACUUUACAGUCUCAGAAAGGAGGCUUGGAGAAGUCGACCAACCUUUGCCUGUGUCACAUAGUUUGAAAGGAGCAGAGCCGAGAUUUAAGCCAGGCCUGAAGAGCAAAAACCCAUUAUAAUGGGCUCUCCUGCUCCACCUGCUUUGAAGGACUGAGAAUGUACUCACAAUUCCAUCCAUCUGUCCAUCCGUCCAUCCACCCAACAUGGAAGCAUUUACUAGCCUCCCAAUUCUGCCUCGAGAUUUAGAAUGGCUAUAUUUAGCAUAAACAGGAAAAGGUUCCAAGGAGCUGAGGCAUCAGGCAGAUGGGAUGCAGUGGGACCCAUUCUUAUGCAAUCUUCAGAUUGCCUUCUACAGCCGGAAGAACCCCACAAACCUCGCCAGUCUCCUCCCCUUGUUCCCAUUUACAGAACAGCAGAGGGGGUGGGGCUGGGAAGGAAGCAGCUCUUCUCUUGUCAACUACUGGCUGUGACCUAAACAGUCCUAGGGGCUCCCUGUACUCUGCACACUGCAGGGGCCUUUGGGACCUUUUCAAAGCACCUCCAGGAAUGUUCCAUGCACUUCAGUGCUGGGAUAAAAAUUCAGGCGGGCUUAGGGCACCUAAGCAUGUUAGGGUCCCUGCUGCGCCUUCAUUCUGCCUCCUCAGCGCCUACGCCUACCUCAUCACCAUCGCCCACCAGCCCCCACCCACACAGGAAGUACAGCUUCCCUGCUCCGUCCUCCUCCUGGCCUGGUGGAAACUGAGCCAGGAAUGGGGGAUCAGUGUGCAAGCAGCCACGGACAUGGGCCUUGGUGUCCUGAGUCUCACUGAAUCCUCUCAAGAAGUUUGUGUUAGAGCAAAGGCUGCUGGUGAGUGUGACUAGAAGGUAAAGGACACGCAGGAGCGGAGCGCUAUAGGCAAGUCAAAGCCAUGGAGAAGCUGAGGUACAGGUCCUGGAGUGUGGCUGGACUGCUCACUAGAGCCCUGCUGGGUGAUGGAGGCAGGGGCUCCAUCUUGCUGGACGCCAUGGGAGGGGGGGGCAGAGUGCUCUGCCAAUCUGCCUCACUAUCUGUGGCACCCUGGGGCGUGGGGGCCUCUCGAUUUCCAGGCACAUCUGUGCGUACAAUAAAUCAUCAGGGCCUCUACGCACGAGUCAGGGCUUGCUGGGGGAGGGUGGCAGGGGAGCCGGACUCACCACACCCCACUGGUGUCCACUCUGGCCUCCUGCCCUUCUCUUUCCUGCCAGGAGUCCGGCAUCAGCUGGACAGCCCCCAGUGAAGGCUGUCCCCCACCCCGUGAAGUGUGACGCGGACAGCCACCCACCACCACUCCCUCUUGCUCUUCCAUGAAGACACAGUCACCCCUCCUGCUUCCCUGACUCCACUCCAUGUGAUCAGUCUCCCAGAGCUCAGUAUACACGCCACUGCCUCUUCCCUGGACCUGCCGAGAGACCCCACAGGAAGCCACUGCCUCAGCCUAGGAGUGGUUCCUCUAGGCUUGUUUUCAAGUUUGGUUGAUAGAUGCCUUCUGGGGUCUUUAAGGCCACUGUGAUUGUCACGCCAGAGAAGCUAGCAUCUCCCCUGCCACAAGAGAGCCACGGUAGCUGGCACUGCGCCCCAGCUCCGCACUGCGCACUCCGAUCAGCAGAGUUGCAGCAGACUCUGAGCGGACUGCCGAAGAAUAAUGUUCCACGCCCUGACUUUGCCUCCCUCAGCCAAACGCAGGGUUUUGGUUGGAGGGAAUUGACACAUUCAUGCAUUUACUUUUUAUAAAAGGAAACAGAGGCUCAGAGUGGUGACUUGUGCUAGUUCACUCUGGGAGCCCAAGGCGGGGCCGGGCUGGAAUUUGGGCUGUAGAUCUGACCAGGGCUCUGAGCGUAAGUGAAGUGUGUUGCAUUGGCUCCUCACUGUCAGUGAAGGGAGAAGAAACUUGGGGAAUGCAGACCUGCCAUGACAUACUCCUAGCAAUCUCACAGGGGCCUGGAAGUCAGGCCUGGAGGUACCUGUGGAGACCAGCCAGUGCAACUUCUCAGCUUACGGAUGAGGAGACCGGAGCCCAAAGGAGACAAGCGACUUGUUCAAGGUCUAACAGCAAACUUUGACGAGCAGGGAGCAGCACACAUAUUACCAGGAGGGCAAGCCAAAACUGCCGUUUUUGUUUGGAUUCCUUCGAGGCAUCCUUGAAUCCACUCAUUGAGUUUUCUUCCAAGUUCAUUCUCAACCAUGAGAUUGCAAGUUUCAGCAUCUAUCAAUAGCCCUUCAUACUGUUCUCCUCCCCGCAAAGCUUUGAUUGCUCCUUAUGUGGGACCGCAUAACUCUGUAAUCAUAAAAGCUCCCCCAGCCCCAACAUAGUGACUGAUUGUGAGUUAAUGGUUAAAAUGUGCUUGUUAGUUCUGGGACACUAGAUAAAAUCUGUAACAAACAUAGAGUUCCUAAGUGAAUUACCCAACUCCUUGUUUGUCCAAAACUGAUGUUCCGGACACAGCUAUCUAUAGAACAAUCUGCAAACAUCUUUUGACCAUCAACAUUUUUUUUCUCUUUUCUGUAAGUUCUGCUUGCUAACUUCCCCUGCAACCCCCUAUAAAAACAGCCUCGGACUCUCAGCCAGUUGCCUCUCUAAGCUACUUUGCUUUGGGAGUGACAUCUGGCCAGACUAAUAAUGGUCUGUUUUACUUUCCC
Molecule: long non-coding RNA, 5313 nt
Filed under: Heterocephalus glaber (naked mole-rat)
Lineage: Eukaryota; Metazoa; Chordata; Mammalia; Rodentia; Bathyergidae
Description: lncRNA (ENSHGLG00100045608.1)
Source: RNAcentral